This 559-nucleotide ribosomal RNA is filed under the name uncultured Gemmatimonadota bacterium. RNAcentral describes it as "bacterial SSU rRNA". It matches the Rfam family "Bacterial small subunit ribosomal RNA", at positions 97 to 670 of the family's 1533-position model. Lineage: Bacteria; Pseudomonadati; Gemmatimonadota. The record is from RNAcentral.
GGCGAACGGGUGCGUAACACGUGAGGAACCUGUCCAACGGUGGGGGAUAGCCGGCCCAACGGCCGGGUAAUACCGCGUACGACCCCAGGGGGGCAUCUCCCCGGGGUGAAAGCAGCAAUGCGCCGAUGGAGGGCCUCGCGGCCUAUCAGCUAGUUGGUGAGGUAAUGGCUCACCAAGGCUACGACGGGUAGCUGGUCCGAGAGGAUGACCAGCCACAUUGGGACUGAGACACGGCCCAGACUCCUACGGGAGGCAGCAGUGGGGAAUCUUGCGCAAUGGGCGAAAGCCUGACGUAGCGACGCCGCGUGUGGGAUGAAGGCCUUCGGGUUGUAAACCACUGUCGGGAGGGACGAAGAUCUGACGGUACCUCCAAAGGAAGCACCGGCUAACUCUGUGCCAGCAGCCGCGGUAAUACAGAGGGUGCAAGCGUUGUCCGGAAUCACUGGGCGUAAAGGGCGCGUAGGCGGCCUGGUAAGUAGGGGGUGAAAUUCUGCGGCUCAACCGCAGGACUGCCUUCUAAACUGUCAGGCUUGAGCACGGUAGAGGCUGGUGGAAUUCC